Molecule: ribosomal RNA, 497 nt
Filed under: uncultured bacterium
Lineage: Bacteria
Description: partial 16S ribosomal RNA
Rfam family: Bacterial small subunit ribosomal RNA
Source: RNAcentral
GAUGAACGCUGGCGGCGUGCCUAAUACAUGCAAGUCGAGCGAACAGACGAGGAGCUUGCUCCUCUGACGUUAGCGGCGGACGGGUGAGUAACACGUGGAUAACCUACCUAUAAGACUGGGAUAACUUCGGGAAACCGGAGCUAAUACCGGAUAAUAUAUUGAACCGCAUGGUUCAAUAGUGAAAGACGGUUUUGCUGCCACUUAUAGAUGGAUCCGCGCCGCAUUAGCUAGUUGGUAAGGUAACGGCUUACCAAGGCGACGAUGCGUAGCCGACCUGAGAGGGUGAUCGGCCACACUGGAACUGAGACACGGUCCAGACUCCUACGGGAGGCAGCAGUAGGGAAUCUUCCGCAAUGGGCGAAAGCCUGACGGAGCAACGCCGCGUGAGUGAUGAAGGUCUUCGGAUCGUAAAACUCUGUUAUGAGGGAAGAACAAAUGUGUAAGUAACUAUGCACGUCUUGACGGUACCUAGUCAGAAAGCCACGGCUAACUACGUG